GGGCAGAUUCCCGAGUGGCUAAAGGGAGCAGACUGUAAAUCUGCCGGCGUCGCCUUCGGUGGUUCGAAUCCACCUCUGCCCA
RNAcentral lists this transfer RNA (82 nucleotides) under Eubacterium sp. Its description in RNAcentral is "tRNA-Tyr". It matches the Rfam family "tRNA". Rfam says of the family: Transfer RNA (tRNA) molecules are approximately 80 nucleotides in length. The record is from RNAcentral. Lineage: Bacteria; Bacillati; Bacillota; Clostridia; Eubacteriales; Eubacteriaceae.